AGUGAACGCUGGCGGUAGGCCUAACACAUGCAGGUCGAACGGCAGCACAGUAAGAGCUUGCUCUUACGGGUGGCGAGUGGCGGACGGGUGAGGAAUACAUCGGAAUCUACUUUUUCGUGGGGGAUAACGUAGGGAAACUUACGCUAAUACCGCAUACGACCUACGGGUGAAAGCAGGGGAUCUUCGGACCUUGCGCGAUUGAAUGAGCCGAUGUCGGAUUAGCUAGUUGGCGGGGUAAAGGCCCACCAAGGCGACGAUCCGUAGCUGGUCUGAGAGGAUGAUCAGCCACACUGGAACUGAGACACGGUCCAGACUCCUACGGGAGGCAGCAGUGGGGAAUAUUGGACAAUGGGCGCAAGCCUGAUCCAGCCAUACCGCGUGGGUGAAGAAGGCCUUCGGGUUGUAAAGUCCUUUUGUUGGGAAAGAAAAGCAGCAGGUUAAUACCCCGCUGUUCUGACGGUACCCAAAGAAUAAGCACCGGCUAACUUCGUG
Molecule: ribosomal RNA, 492 nt
Filed under: uncultured bacterium
Lineage: Bacteria
Description: partial 16S ribosomal RNA
Rfam family: Bacterial small subunit ribosomal RNA
Source: RNAcentral